CCAAAUGUCGUGUUCUGGACUCUCAUUUCUCAUUUGCAAAACUACCAUAUUGAGAUACAUGAAAUCCAUACAUAUUUCAACAAUUUCUUAGAAAACAAAUGAGAAGAAGAUACAAAGAAGGUAUUAAGUGAAGGGAAUAUGGGAAAGAACCGACCUUGGGCCCAUUUUCUAUGGUGGAAAUGAACUUGGAAUGGAGACUAAAGCAGAAGUCUGUGUUAGGGGGUUUGGGAGCAUGACAUCAAGCAUGAACAGGAGGAGGGAGGUAAAGAUAAUCGAGGGAGAACCUAGUGAGUCAGCGGCGAAGGUGCAUGAUGGCCAAGACCAUGCCAAGGUGGUUGAUAUAUGAGAAGUCUAGGGAGUUUCAUUUUUUCCUUCC
This 376-nucleotide long non-coding RNA is filed under the name Phoenix dactylifera (date palm). RNAcentral's name for it is "long non-coding RNA (PDAC_LNC001897)". The record is from RNAcentral. Lineage: Eukaryota; Viridiplantae; Streptophyta; Magnoliopsida; Arecales; Arecaceae.